CACGCCCUAAACGAUGUCAACUAGGUGUUGGAAGGGUUAAACCUUUUAGUGCCGUAGCUAACGCGUGAAGUUGACCGCCUGGGGAGUACGGCCGCAAGGCUAAAACUCAAAGGAAUUGACGGGGACCCGCACAAGCGGUGGAUGAUGUGGUUUAAUUCGAUGCAACGCGAAAAACCUUACCCACCUUUGACAUGGUCGGAACCCUUUAGAGAUAGAGGGGUGCUCGAAAGAGAGCCGAUACACAGGUGC
RNAcentral lists this ribosomal RNA (249 nucleotides) under uncultured bacterium. RNAcentral's name for it is "partial 16S ribosomal RNA". It matches the Rfam family "Bacterial small subunit ribosomal RNA", at positions 796 to 1041 of the family's 1533-position model. The record is from RNAcentral.